Brassica oleracea var. oleracea is the source of this 381-nucleotide long non-coding RNA. RefSeq lists it as uncharacterized. The transcript has 3 exons. NCBI's taxonomy places the organism in Eukaryota, Viridiplantae, Streptophyta, Magnoliopsida, Brassicales, Brassicaceae. The record is from RefSeq and is a predicted model, not a curated record.
GAGAGAGAGAGAGAAAGAGAGAGAGAAAGAGAGAGAAAGCUCACCUGAGCUCGUCGCCGGAGCAACCGUGUGCCGUGAUCACGUUCAGCUUGUCACCACCAUCAUCCGCAACCAAAGAUUUGGAGUCCAUUUGAGCAGCUGGAGUUCAUAUAUACCACUUCUCUUCAUUGCUAAGGUGAGACCGACGAGCAGAAGUGAUUAUACCGGACCGGUGCUUUUGGGCUUUUACUACUAUUGGGCUUUUGGGCAUCUAUCUUUUUAUCGCUUUUAUCGUUAUCGGGCCUCUAGGCCUUUGGGCUUUUAUCGUUUAUGUUAUUUCGUAUUUCGGACUCUCGGUUUAUGUCGUACUUUAUGUUUCAGAUUUUAUUUUAUAUUAUGGAA